Molecule: long non-coding RNA, 643 nt
Organism: Oncorhynchus kisutch (coho salmon)
Lineage: Eukaryota; Metazoa; Chordata; Actinopteri; Salmoniformes; Salmonidae
Exons: 2
Source: RefSeq, a predicted model, not a curated record
CCACAAGUUAUGCCGUGGUUGGUAUUUCUAUUUAUUAUGGAUCCCCUUAAGCUACUCUUCCUGGGGUCCAAACACACCAAAGCACCCACAUUAUAUGUAAAAACCAAAGAUAAAACAGUGAACUACGUUUGUACUGAAUGAACUAAAGAUUAAACAGUACAUCAUAUAACAUCUCUACACCACCACACAUCCACAACAUGUUCAAUACAACAAUAUCACAAUGUGAAUCUAUGCAUGCAUGUGUGAGUGAUGAAGUUUGUGACUCAUCCUUUCAGGUGUGUGUGUGAUGUGUUUUCAGUGAGGACCGCAUCAAGAACGGCUGUAAGAAGAUUCUGAAGAGCCGACAGGGCAGCACACAGGGACGACUGGACACCUUCUUCACCAUCACCGGGUCUCUGUCAUCAAAACGCAAGGAACCUGAGACAAAGGGAUCCAACAAGAAGAAGCAGAAGACCGGUGCAACCCCAGGCAAAUAGACUACAAACAGGAAGUGAAGCAAGUAUAGCAGAAGUUAGUGCAGGAGUGUAUGAAUCACUUAGCUACAAUUACUUAGCUACAAUUAUAGUGCGUCUGAUCAAGUCUGUUUUUCAUGUUGAACUAGGCAAGUUUUAUGAAUGUUUAUUCUUUUGAAUAAAGUUUUUUU